Long non-coding RNA from Gasterosteus aculeatus aculeatus (three-spined stickleback), 2851 nucleotides. NCBI's taxonomy places the organism in Eukaryota, Metazoa, Chordata, Actinopteri, Perciformes, Gasterosteidae. The record is from Ensembl.
CAAGGCCAGACAAUCCUCUAAAAUUCUUAUUUGACAGUGGAAGUGGAGCAGUUUUUUACUGUGCAUCUUGUCGGUAUGCAGAAGGAGCACAGCCAUCUCAUUCAUUACACGUACGAUGCGUCCAGUCAGACGUACAGGCGGCCGGGACGCUUUCAGACAAAACGGGCCAAACGUCGGCCGUGUGACAGCUGGAUGGGCCCCGGAGCCGUAGUCACUUCUCCCUCCGCUUCAAGCUGCUGCCGCCGGAUUAUCAGCGGCUGGGUUCCAUGUCGGCCGACCACAGGUUUUGAUAAGCAGCAUCGGCGGAAGAGAAAAAGUCAAAGGCGAGGAUGGGAAGUGACUCAUCCGCCUGUGUGCAACUGGUCAUUUACGAGGCAUGUGAGGGGCCCCCGGUGCCCGAGGUUGCUGACUGGCACUCUCUGGGGAUUCUGCAUCGGGCCUUUUUAAGGACACAUUUUGAUGCACUCGGUUACUCUGUGUAGUAUGUUGAGACCACUUAGAAAUGAAAAACACUGGCAAUGUAAAACCCAGAAAAGAGUUUUUUCCCCCUUCACAGAUCAACUCAAAUCAAAUAAAUAAACCUUGGGUUUCAACUGCAAGGUAACAAGGUGGUUAAGACUGAAAUUUCACAGAAAUAAUUUAAAUUCUCUUCACUGUGGAACAUCAAACAAGCCAACAGCAUCUCUCGAAUCCAAAAUAUAUAUUUUACAGUGCAUGUUAGAAAUGUUAACAUAAAAACAUGCGUCAUAAGACGAGAAGUGCGUUCAGUCCUUUUAACGAGCGUGUAUAUCUGUCACCGGUCCUUGAUGACGGGUCCGGGCAUCACUACCUGUUUAGUAUAUUCUAGUGCUGCGCCGGUGUUGCUGUAGCUGUGUGGGACGCGUAGCAUUUGUUGUCCUGCACGGUAUCUGCGGCACCCGUCCAGUUUGCCCUACUUCUGUGAUUAUGAUGACGAUACAAGUGUUCUCUGUUCUUUGUUUUAAAGUAUGCACACCUUAAAGUAUAUUUUAGAAUAAACAAGCUUGAUGGACAAAGACAUGAAUCUUGCAAUAGGAAAUUUGACCUUUUUAGACUCAUUGGCCUCUGUAUAUAACAAGCUCUGCUCCAGAACCGUUAUUUGCACGGACCAACCAUCCGUGUCUGAGAGCGCAGCCUUGUGCGCUAGGAAUAGAGAAGCCUUGUGAACAUUAAUGGCCGGGGAACAGUUAUGAAAAUAUUCCUUUCCUGCUGCCCCCAGUCAAAGAGAGGGCACAGGGCUGACUUGUUUUCGUCCGUUUUAACUCCCCCAGGUUAAAAUUCGAUGUAUAUUUAGGAGGAGAUUGAGCUAGAACAGGAGGAGAAGAAAAGCACGAAGAGGCUGUCUCUGUUAUUGGAGACAUCUGACUCAAUGUUCUCCAAAUGCCUGGACAUAUUUUAGCCAUAUUUAGCCACACUCAUGGUAAAUUUCACUUACGGUUAUUUAGAUACCAUCUUAAGUGACUAUUAGUAACAUUAAGCUUGAGAAAUAACCAUAUGACCCUCAUUUUGUUCUUUUAUGUGUUGCCGUGCUGCAGUGAGGCCCGAUGGACAGACGUGCGUUAUUUUAGUACCGCGGUUUGUGGUUAAAUGCGGACAUAAGCAUAUAUUAAUAAAACGCUUAGCACUACUUUGGUUACUGACCUGUGUAAAAAUCUUCUCAGAAUAAUAAAAAUAACAAAUCUCUUUAAUGUUUGUCAUGACAACUCCAAAUUAUGAAUCCCACAACACGCCCCGAUGGUCUGUAAUUAUUGUUCAACCUAGAGCCAAAUUAACUCUGUGUUCCUCGGCCAGUGGUGUGUGAUACGCUAUGAACAACCCGGAUGACUCUUCUAUUCUCGAGCUUCAAAGUGGGCAGAAAGGAGACAACGGGAGCCCACGAUGAUGAUUUUUCUCCACCAUCAUUUCCUCCGUGUAAAAAUGGAUACCCGCUGUCUGCUUCCGGUGGUCACGCGGGGUUGUGCGCUGUGCAAACAUUUUUCUCCGUUGGCUCCUUUUAUUUGUGGCAGCCGUGCGGCGGGGGUCACAUGGUUGGUGCUCACACGGCACUUGUUGCACAACCCGGUCUCACAGCAAAACGUGUAAUAGCUACGUUGUGCACCAACGUGGUAUUGUCACGCUUUGUUCCCCCAAAGCGUGACAAUACCACAUUUUAUUUGCAACGAGGUCACGUGACUCUCAACUGUCAGUCUAUUAUCUGUGAAAAACACAAUAUUUUAAGAAAGCAGCAGCAUUUGUAUGCAUUUCGAUGGCAUUUCUAGCAAGAAGUAUCAGUUAUAUUUUAUAUGUAGAAGACCUUCCGUUUAUUAGUUUCUAGUGACGCAGAAGGCAAUGUAAAUGAAUGGGCCAAAAUAAGACGUAGUAUUGUCACGAUUUUGGGGGAGAAAGACGUGACAAUACCACGUUGGUCCACAACGUAGUUAUUACACUUUUUGUGCGGUGAGACUGGGUUGCGUUGCGUCAAAGGCCUCUGAAAAAUGCAUUACAGUGUUGAGGCUGGAAACUAUAAUCAAUAAUUGGUAAAUGCAUCGGCACCACAUCUUACCGCAAAUGACGACGCUCUCUGUUGAUGCUUAAUUUUUCAACAUUAGCCCCCCCCCCCCCCCCAUCUUCCUCUUCUCCCUCUUUUUUAGCACUAAACUGUAAUGGCUGUUUUAUUGUGACUAAUGGUGGCACUAGAACCGCACUUACUUUGUACUUGGUUCAAAGCCAACAGUGUGGGACAAAUGGAGCGACCCAUCCAGUAGUUAAAAAAUAAAAAGUAAAAAAUUGAAGACCUCUUCGCUCUGGCUCAGUGCUGACACACAAAAGGAAGCAUUGAUAUGAGGAAAAGAGC